CGGCCGCCCGGCAGCGGCAAGGCGACCUCCAGCGUGGCCAGAGCGGCGCCGCCGGACGGGCUGACCGUCAAGAGGCGGGGACGGCCGCCCAAGACGCCGACGCUGUCCAGACCGGAGCCCGGGCUGUCUAAGACCCCGGCGAAUGAUGACGGCGGACACUGGUCCAGCGCGUCGGAGCCGGCCGCGCCGC
This is a long non-coding RNA of Pollicipes pollicipes, 190 nucleotides long. RefSeq lists it as uncharacterized. The record is from RefSeq and is a predicted model, not a curated record. Lineage: Eukaryota; Metazoa; Arthropoda; Thecostraca; Pollicipedomorpha; Pollicipedidae. The transcript has 4 exons.